Non-coding RNA from Pantherophis guttatus, 2827 nucleotides. Lineage: Eukaryota; Metazoa; Chordata; Lepidosauria; Squamata; Colubridae. The record is from RefSeq and is a predicted model, not a curated record.
CCGGUCCCAAAUCAGGUGCAGGAAAGCUGGAUGAAAAUCCCGAGCGGGGAUUGGCGCCACACUUCAGAGGAAGAUUGGCUGCAAGACACCCUCCUGCUUAGCCUCGCCCUUGUGGCUUUCCGGGAAAAGCUUCCUUCGGGGAUGCCGUUCUUCUCUCACGAGGAAGACUCGAAGCAGCUGGGGGAAUGCCUCUGGCUCCGCGAUGUGCAACCGCCGGGGACGGUAAGCUUUCCCUCCACGCGAGUGGUUCCUUGGCUUGCUCAGGAGGACAAGGCUCCGGCGCCCCCCACUUCAGACGCGGCAGACGGUGGGAGUAGGCACUGUCGGGAGGCACGCGAGCUCUUCUUGGCAGCCGAGGGGCAAAGCCAGUGGCUGCAGCCACCCCAAGAGACCCUGGAGGCGGGAGUCGCCUCACCUGACCCUGGAGAGAAAAAGCAAGAUUUCAAUCCGAAGGUUUUAGAUUUAAAAGGAAAGCAGGAAUAUUUGGAAUACUGCUAUUUGUUACCGAAGGAAAAUAAGUACUCAGAAACUCAAGAGGAAGAAGAACAAGAAGAGUGUGAUAAGAGUGAACAAGCUGAUUGGAAGGAAAGGGAGAAUCUCACUUCUAUUUCCUUGGUUGUUAGUUGUGAAGUUGUAUCCAACCCAUCGUGACCCCAUGGACGUUCCUCCAGGACUUCCUGUCCUCUACCAUCCUCUGGAGUCCAAUUAAGUUCAUGCAUACUGCUUCAGUGACUCCAUCCAGCCACCUCAUCUCCUUCUUUUGUCCUCAAUCUUUCCGAGCAUUAGGCUCUUCUCCAGUGAGUCCUUCCUUCUCAUUAGGUGGCCGAAGUAUUUGAGUUUCAUCUUCAGGAUCUGGCCUUCUAAAGAGCAGAGUUCAUCUCUAGGACUGAACCGUUUGAUCGCCUUGCAGUCCAAGGGACUCUCAGAACUCUACUCUUUAGGUUACUUUCCAGUUACUAUCACUCUCUGAAAUUACUUUGGAACAAGUGUGAAAAUUAGGGCCUAAUGUUAUGAAGUAUCUCAGAAACAAUUCUGUAAUUUAUUUAAAAUAUAUAUGCUAGUUGAAAGCAGCAGUUUCCAAACCUACAAUUUAGUUUGAGGAAAAUGUUUUGCCUCGCAAUUCUUAUUAUACUAGAUCAAACUGUCUAGCUGCUUCUCAGAUAGUCCAAGAGAAUUUUGUAUUAGAAGUAGCUGCUACUAUUAUCCUAUUCAUAUGGGAUAUCAUUCUAAAGGCAGAAUAUGAAUUUAUGUCCCAAAUAUGGAGGUCUUUAUUAAUUAAAUGUUAUGGCCAUCUAAUUGAUAUUCAUAUAGUCAAAGCUUUGGUUAUCCCAAUAGUAAUGUAUGGCUGAGUUGGAUCAUAAAGACUGGACACCUAAGAAUUGUUUUCGAAUUGUGUUGGUGAAGACUCGAGAAUCCUUGGACUACAAGAAAUCAAUCAAUCCUAAAAGAAAUCAACCUUGACUGUUCUUUGGAAAGACAAAUACCACAAAUAUUUUGGCCAAUAAAUAAGUCAUUGGAAAAGACCCUGAUGCUGGGAAAGAUUGAAGGCAAAAGGAGACAGGGCUGGCAGAGAAUGAAAUGGAACAAGCAAGCAGCAGAGAUGUGAAUUUGACAAACUUUCAUCAGAGCCCUAUAGAUUUAGCCCAAGCUAUUAGCCAUGAUGUGAGUCUUCACGAUGCCACAGUGAUGGGAUCAGACCACACUAAUGUAACAGAUGUAGAGACGACUUUAGAGAGACUGGAGAUUUUACCCGGCUUAAAUAUAUCUCCAACAAAUGAGACCAACAUGUUAGAAUUAUUUGCAAAUGAUCAUUGCUGCACAAGUCUUACGCACCAAGAUUUCUUUUUCAGCCUGAAUGAAAAUGGAUAUGAGAAAAUACAUUUCACACCAUUAGCCAUAGAAGGAAAUUUUGACUUUGCAGAAACUUGUCAUUUUGAAGAACGAGAUUCAGAUUCUGGACUUUCUUUAGACUUAAAUUACAGUAAUGCAUCUCUUGUAUUUUCUUGUAACAAGGAUGCCAACUUUGGCACAUCAGAUGACUCAGGAGCUGUAGGAAAUAGUUGCCUACAAUAUUGCCAUACAGAAUAUCAAAGCAAUUAUGACCAUGGAACAAAAUCACUAGUAGGUAUAUUCCAUGAUCAUACAUACAACCGGGAUUUACAACAGCUGACAUUCCCAGAAUCAGAGGAUUAUUUCAGAUGGUCAGAAGAAUCCAAAAGAACUGAAAAUGAAAGUGAUAUAAAUCUAAAUGAUGAAUACCGGGCAAAAGCUCUGAGUAUUCCUUUCUCUGUUAAUGAUAUAGUGACCUUGCCUGUAGAGUCUUUUAAUAGCAUGUUAUCAAACUACUACCUAACAGAUAACCAACUGUCACUCAUUCGUGAUAUAAGACGAAGAGGAAAAAAUAAAGUUGCUGCUCAAAACUGCCGUAAACGUAAAUUAGACGCAAUUAUGAACCUGAAAGAUGAAGUGUAUCAUCUUCAGAUGCAGAUGGAAAGGCUUGAGAAACAGAAGACACAAUAUAAAAGGUCAAUUCGUAAUAUAAAACAAAAAGUGAAUGAUCUUUGCUGGAACUUUUUCAAUAAAUUGAGAGAUGACCAAGGAACAAUUAAUACAAGCCAAUGUUCCCUUCAGUAUUGUGGAAAUAGUACUAUAUUAAUUUUACCUAAAAAAGAAAUCAACCAGGAGCCCCCAAACUGAAACAAUAAGACCAACAUUUUAAAUGUUUUAAUAAUGGUGUUUAAGGAUUGCAUUUGCAAGAAGCCAGAAGAAAACAAACGUGAAUUGUAUCCCUUGUCUAAUUUUACUAUUUUAAAGAAUUUCAACCUAA